This 401-nucleotide ribosomal RNA is filed under the name uncultured bacterium. RNAcentral describes it as "partial 16S ribosomal RNA". It matches the Rfam family "Archaeal small subunit ribosomal RNA", at positions 473 to 873 of the family's 1478-position model. The record is from RNAcentral.
ACACCGGCGGCCCGAGUGGUGAUCGUGAUUAUUGGGUCUAAAGGGUCCGUAGCCGGUUUGGUCAGUCCUCCGGGAAAUCUGAUAGCUCAACUAUUAGGCUUUCGGGGGAUACUGCCAGACUUGGAACCGGGAGAGGUAAGAGGUACUACAGGGGUAGGAGUGAAAUCUUGUAAUCCCUGUGGGACCACCUGUGGCGAAGGCGUCUUCCCAGCACGGGUUCGACGGGGAGGCACGAAAGCUGGGGGCACGACCGGGAUUAGAGUCCCGGGUGGUCCCAGCCGUAAACGAUGGUCGCUAGGUGUCAGGCAUGGCGCGACCGUGUCUGGUGCCGCAGGGAAGACGUGAAGCGAGCCACCUGGGAACUACGGCCGCAAGGCUGAAACUCAAAGGAAUUGACGGGG